GUCCCCAUCGUCUAGAGGCCCAGGACAAUGCCCUUUCACGGCAUGAACCGGAGUUCGAAUCUCCGUGGGGACG
This 73-nucleotide transfer RNA is filed under the name Sandaracinaceae bacterium. RNAcentral's name for it is "tRNA-Glu". It matches the Rfam family "tRNA". Rfam says of the family: Transfer RNA (tRNA) molecules are approximately 80 nucleotides in length. Their secondary structure includes four short double-helical elements and three loops (D, anti-codon, and T loops). Lineage: Bacteria; Pseudomonadati; Myxococcota; Polyangiales; Sandaracinaceae. The record is from RNAcentral.